UGGCGCACGGGUGCGUAACGCGUGGGAAUCUGCCCCUUGGUUCGGAAUAACAGUUAGAAAUGACUGCUAAUACCGGAUGAUGUCUUCGGACCAAAGAUUUAUCGCCAAGGGAUGAGCCCGCGUAGGAUUAGCUAGUUGGUGAGGUAAAAGCUCACCAAGGCGACGAUCCUUAGCUGGUCUGAGAGGAUGAUCAGCCACACUGGGACUGAGACACGGCCCAG
This 221-nucleotide ribosomal RNA is filed under the name uncultured bacterium. Its description in RNAcentral is "partial 16S ribosomal RNA". It matches the Rfam family "Bacterial small subunit ribosomal RNA", at positions 96 to 334 of the family's 1533-position model. The record is from RNAcentral.